GUCAAGUCAUCAUGGCCUUUAUGCCCAGGGCUACACACGUGCUACAAUGGGGAGGACAAAGGGUUGCGACCUGGUGACAGGGAGCCAAUCUCAAAAACCUUCUCUCAGUUCGGAUUGUAGUCUGCAACUCGACUACAUGAAGCUGGAAUCGCUAGUAAUCGCAGAUCAGCCAUGCUGCGGUGAAUACGUUCCCGGACCUU
RNAcentral lists this ribosomal RNA (200 nucleotides) under uncultured organism. Its description in RNAcentral is "partial small subunit ribosomal RNA". It matches the Rfam family "Bacterial small subunit ribosomal RNA", at positions 1184 to 1382 of the family's 1533-position model. The record is from RNAcentral.